This 567-nucleotide ribosomal RNA is filed under the name Kyphosus cinerascens (blue seachub). RNAcentral describes it as "partial 16S ribosomal RNA". It matches the Rfam family "Bacterial large subunit ribosomal RNA", at positions 1796 to 2569 of the family's 2925-position model. The record is from RNAcentral. Lineage: Eukaryota; Metazoa; Chordata; Actinopteri; Centrarchiformes; Kyphosidae.
UCGCCUGUUUAUCAAAAACAUCGCCUCUUGCAAAACUGAGGAAUAAGAGGUCCCGCCUGCCCUGUGACUAUAUGUUUAACGGCCGCGGUAUUUUGACCGUGCGAAGGUAGCGCAAUCACUUGUCUUUUAAAUGGAGACCUGUAUGAAUGGCAUAACGAGGGCUUAGCUGUCUCCUUUUUCAAGUCAAUGAAAUUGAUCUCCCCGUGCAGAAGCGGGGAUAACACCAUAAGACGAGAAGACCCUAUGGAGCUUUAGACACCAAGGCAGAUCAUGUUAAACACCCCUUCACAAAGGACUAAACCAGAUGAACCCUGCCCUAAUGUCUUUGGUUGGGGCGACCGCGGGGAAACAAAAAACCCCCACGUGGAAUGGGAAUACUCCUUCCUACAACUAAGAGCUCCCGCUCUAAUGACCAGAACUUCUGACCAAUCAGAUCCGGCAACGCCGAUCAACGAACCGAGUUACCCUAGGGAUAACAGCGCAAUCCCCUUUUAGAGCCCAUAUCGACAAGGGGGUUUACGACCUCGAUGUUGGAUCAGGACAUCCUAAUGGUGCAGCCGCUAUAAG